This 29-nucleotide non-coding RNA is filed under the name Mus musculus (house mouse). Lineage: Eukaryota; Metazoa; Chordata; Mammalia; Rodentia; Muridae. The record is from RNAcentral.
AGAGGUGGCCGAGACUCACAAUUACCUCU